GAUGAACGCUGGCGGCGUGCCUAAUACAUGCAAGUCGAGCGAACAAGAACAGCUAAGCUUGCUUAGCAGUUUGCGUUAGUGGCGAACGGGUGAGUAAUACAUAAAUAACCUGCCCCUAUGUUUGGAAUAACAGUUGGAAACGACUGCUAAUGCCAAAUACGUUAUCUUAAGGCAUCUUAAGAUAAUAAAAGAUGGGAUACAUCGCAAAGGGAUGGAUUUAUGGCGCAUUAGUUAGUUGGUGAGGUAACGGCUCACCAAGACGAUGAUGCGUAGCCGGCCUGAGAGGGUGACCGGCCACACUGGGACUGAGACACGGCCCAGACUCCUACGGGAGGCAGCAGUAGGGAAUUUUCGGCAAUGGGGGCAACCCUGACCGAGCGACGCCGCGUGAGUGAAGAAGGCCUUCGGGUUGUAAAGCUCUGUUGUAAGGGAAGAACCGUAGUGAUAGGGAAUGAUCACUACCUGACGGUACCUUACCAGAAAGCCACGGCUAACUACGUGCCAGCAGCCGCGGUAAUACGUAGGUGGCAAGCGUUAUCCGGAAUUAUUGGGCGUAAAGGGAGCGCAGGCGGUUUAUUAAGUCUGAUGUUAAAACACGGAGCUCAACUUCGUGAUGCAUUAGAAACUGGUAGACUAGAGUGCAGGAGAGGUGAGUGGAAUUCCAUGUGUAGCGGUAAAAUGCGUAGAUAUAUGGAGGAACACCAGUGGCGAAGGCGGCUCACUGGCCUGUAACUGACGCUGAGGCUCGAAAGCGUGGGGAGCAAAUAGGAUUAGAUACCCUAGUAGUCCACGCCGUAAACGAUGAGUGCUAGGUGGUGGAGUAGAACUUCAGUGCGGCGGUUAACGCAAUAAGUAUUCCGCCUGGGGAGUAUGCGCGCAAGCGUAAAACUCAAAGGAAUUGACGGGGACCCGCACAAGCGGUGGAGUAUGUGGUUUAGUUCGAUGCACCGCGAAGCACCUUACCUGGUCUUGGCAUAUAUUUGAAGCAGCUUGGAGAUGAGUAAUAGUUAUAGAUAUCCAGGUGGUGCAUGGUUGUCGUCAGCUCGUGUCGUGAGAUGUUGGGUUAAGUCCCGCAACGAGCGCAACCCCUAUCUUUAGUUACCAUCAUUCAGUUGGGGACUCUAAAGAGACUGCCGGUGAUAAACCGGAGGAAGGUGGGGAUGACGUCAAAUCAUCAUGCCCCUUAUGAUCAGGGCUACACACGUCCUACAAUGGCAUAGACAAAGGGCAGCUACACAGCGAUGUGAUGAGAAUCUCAUAAAGUAUGUCUCAGUUCAAAUUGGAGUGUGCAACUCGACUCCAUGAAGCAGGAAUCGCUAGUAAUC
RNAcentral lists this ribosomal RNA (1325 nucleotides) under uncultured bacterium. RNAcentral's name for it is "bacterial SSU rRNA". It matches the Rfam family "Bacterial small subunit ribosomal RNA", at positions 28 to 1343 of the family's 1533-position model. The record is from RNAcentral.